Molecule: ribosomal RNA, 531 nt
Filed under: uncultured bacterium
Lineage: Bacteria
Description: bacterial SSU rRNA
Rfam family: Bacterial small subunit ribosomal RNA
Source: RNAcentral
UGGGGAAUUUUGGGCAAUGGCCGAAAGGCUGACCCAGCGACGCCGCGUGUGGGAGGAAGCCCUUCGGGGUGUAAACCACUGUCGGGAGGGACGAACGAGGGAGGCGGGAAUACUGCUUCUCUGUGACGGUACCUUCAAAGGAAGCGCCGGCUAACUCUGUGCCAGCAGCCGCGGUAAGACAGAGGGCGCGAGCGUUGUUCGGAAUUACUGGGCGUAAAGCGCGCGCAGGCGGAUCUGUACGUCUGUAAGUGAAAUCCCGCCGCUCAACGGCGGGGCUGCUUGGGAAACGGCAGGUCUGGGGACCGGUAGAGGUCGGUAGAAUUCCCGGUGUAGCGGUGGAAUGCGUAGAGAUCGGGAAGAAUACCCGUGGCGAAGGCGGCCGACUGGGCCGGAUCCGACGCUGAGGCGCGAAAGCGUGGGGAGCAAACAGGAUUAGAUACCCUGGUAGUCCACGCCGUAAACGAUGGGCACUAGGUGCCGGGGGGAGCGGACCCCCUCGGUGCCGCAGCUAACGCGUUAAGUGCCCCGCCU